GUUCAUUAUGAGUUGCUUAGUGGUAAAAAAAAAAAUUGAAUUUAAUGUAGUAUUUUUUUAUUUUUAUAAGGUUUUAAAUAUUAUGGCCUGAUUAUUGUAAAAAUUACAAUAAAGCAAUACUAUUAACCAAACUCCACUCAGAAUUGUUUUUUGUUAGCAAUGGUUAAUCAUUACUUAAAAAUAUAUAUUAAAGACAAAUAUAUGAUUUGUCAUUUGUUACAUAUUAUACCUAGAUAUUCCAUGUACUUAUUCAUAGUUAUUAUAUUUAAAAACUAUUUGUCUUAUAUACUGUAAAUUGUUUAAAAUUAUUAAAAUGGUAUAAAAUUUAGGUUAUUAUUUUUUAUUUUUUUUAGUUAUCUCAUCAAAUAUUCAUAUAAAAGAGAUGUAGAUAUACUUUGAACAGUGGGUGAGUUACUAUAGAUUUGAAGUUAAAUAGGUAAGAAAGGUAGAGGGGAAAUUUAAUGUUUAUAUGUAUUAUGUACGCAAAGAUUAACCAUUGCUAAUGAGAAACAAUUCUGAGUGAAAUUCAGUUAAUAAUGUUACUUUGUCAACAAUUUGUCAUAUUAUUAUAAACUAAUUAACAUAUACAGUAUUUAUUUUAUUUUGUAAUAUUUAUUAAAUAUUGUACCAUUUUACCGGUUUUUCCCCAUUUAUUAUGAAAAAAAGCGAAAAUGUUAGUCUGCUCCAGAGACCCGAAAGUAAAAGCUGAUGUGUACAUCGGUAGUCAAAAAUUGGAGCAAGUAGAGGAAAUGGUAUACCUAGGGAGAAAAAUCACAUCUGAUGGUAAGAGCGUCCGAGAGCUAAAACAACGCAUAGUAUUAGCAAAAACUACCUUUAGUAAAACAUAAAAGUUGCUCACUUCAAAAGUUACAUCUCAAUAUCAAGAAGAAAUUUAUAAAAACAUAUAUAUGGAUGUGACAUUUGGGUAGGAAGUGAUGCUGAAAAGAAAAAACUAGAAGCCUUCGAGAUGUGGUGUUGGAGGCGUAUGGAAAGGAUAAGUUGAAUAGAGUAAAAAACAAAUGAAGAAGUACUUAGAACUCAUAGAUGCGAUUAGAGCAAGACGCUGGAAAUUGGUUGGGCAUGCCUUGAGACACCCAGAAAAGUUGCAUAAUAUAAUAUUAGAGGGUAUGAUAGAAGGAAAGAAAACUGCAGGACGUCUUCAAAACUUAUAUAGGACAAAUUAAAUGUGAUGCAAGAGUCGAAACCUUUGAGGAACUUAUAGAAAAGGUGAGUAAUUGGUUGGAAUGAAGAAUUGGAGUUGUAAACCAACCUUCGGAUUGAAAAAAAAAAAAAAUCUAAACAUGUACAAUAAAACUUUGCUCUGAAUCGUUUUUUGUAACUAAUAGUUUAUUGUUCACAGAUAUAAAUUAAACAACUAUGUAUCCUAUCUUUUUAACUUCUCACCAAAAACAGUGGCCCACUCAUACCCAGUAUCAUCUUUUUUUUUAAGUUUGUCAACUUCAUUUUCGACAUUAUAUCAUCAUUAAAUAUAUUUUUUUUUACAUACAGUAAUACAAUAUAGUUAUGUGAUUACAUUUUUAGUUUUUUUUCUCAAGAUGUAAUUCAAACCAUUAUGUAAAUUGAUUUCAUUUUUAACUAGUUACUGAAACAAAUUUGUAACAUCUUCAAUAUUCUAUUAUUUAAUUGAUUAAUGUUUAUAUACUCAAAAUAUGAAAUAUUAAAUCUUUUACCUCAUGAUCUGAACAAUUAGUUUUAUUAUAAUAUUGUAUGCUGUAUAAGCUCAUACUGCAUAUUAAUCA
Molecule: non-coding RNA, 1760 nt
Organism: Cinara cedri
Lineage: Eukaryota; Metazoa; Arthropoda; Insecta; Hemiptera; Aphididae
Source: the annotation of a GenBank genome assembly